AACGAACGCUGGCGGCAUGCCUAACACAUGCAAGUCGAACGAGACCUUCGGGUCUAGUGGCGCACGGGUGCGUACCGCGUGGGAACCUGCCCUUAGGUUCGGAAUAACUCCCCGAAAGGGGUGCUAAUACCGGUUAAUGUCUUCGGACCAAAGAUUUAUCGCCUUUGGAUGGGCCCGCGUUGGAUUAGCGAGUUGGUAGGGUAAAAGCCUACCAAGGCGACGAUCCAUAGCUGGUCUGAGAGGAUGAUCAGCCACACUGGGACUGAGACACGGCCCAGACUCCUACGGGAAGCAGCAGUGGGGAAUAUUGGACAAUGGGCGAGAGCCUGAUCCGGCAAUGCCGCGUGAGUGAUGAAGGCCUUAGGGUUGUAAAGCUCUUUUACCCGGGAUGAUAAUGACAGUACCGGGAGAAUAAGCUCCGGCUAACUCCGUG
RNAcentral lists this ribosomal RNA (433 nucleotides) under uncultured bacterium. Its description in RNAcentral is "partial 16S ribosomal RNA". It matches the Rfam family "Bacterial small subunit ribosomal RNA", at positions 29 to 507 of the family's 1533-position model. The record is from RNAcentral.